AGAGAGAGACAUGCGCGCAUAUCAAUAAGCGGAGGAAAAGAAACUAACAAGGAUUCCCUUAGUAACGGCGAGUGAAGCGGGAAGAGCUCAAAUUUGAAAUCUUCAAGGUUUUACCUUGACGAAUUGUAGUUUAAAGAAGUGUUUUCUGCUGAAGUUUUGGUAAAAGUUCUUUGGAAUAGGACAUCAUAGAGGGUGAGAAUCCCGUAUUUGACCAUUAUUUCAGCUUUGUGAUACACUUUCAAAGAGUCGGAUUGUUUGGGAAUGCAGUCCAAAAUGGGUGGUAAAUUUCAUCUAAAGCUAAAUAUUGGCGAGAGACCGAUAGCGAACAAGUACCGUGAGGGAAAGAUGAAAAGAACUUUGAAAAGAGAGUUAAACAGUACGUGAAAUUGUCAAAAGGGAAGCGUUUGACACCAGUGUUGUUUUCUCGAAAAUCAAUUAAAAAUGGCUCGAUUUUGUAUUGCUUGAGACCUUAAAAGCUCACUGUACAUUUUUCGUGUCUUUUUUAAUGCACUUUUCGUUUAACAAGUCAACAUCAGUUUCUUUUGUUGUAAAAGGGUCAUUGGAAGGUGGCUUUCUUUUCGGAGAAAGUGUUUAUAGCCUUUGGCCUCUGCAAUCGGAGAGACUGAGGUCUGCAGCGUAGACUCUUCGGGGUUAGAUACAUUUGUGCUAAGUUAUAGCUUUUUAUAGACAACUUGUUGACUAUAAUUAGUCUUGUAGCUUACUCGCUUAUGCUAUUUUACCUACGCUUAGGAUGUUGAAGAUGUAGCACAUCAU
Molecule: ribosomal RNA, 774 nt
Filed under: uncultured Neocallimastigales
Lineage: Eukaryota; Fungi; Neocallimastigomycota; Neocallimastigomycetes; Neocallimastigales
Description: partial large subunit ribosomal RNA
Rfam family: Eukaryotic large subunit ribosomal RNA
Source: RNAcentral